Molecule: ribosomal RNA, 549 nt
Filed under: uncultured bacterium
Lineage: Bacteria
Description: bacterial SSU rRNA
Rfam family: Bacterial small subunit ribosomal RNA
Source: RNAcentral
UAGGGAAUCUUCGGCAAUGGACGGAAGUCUGACCGAGCAACGCCGCGUGAGUGAAGAAGGUUUUCGGAUCGUAAAGCUCUGUUGUAAGAGAAGAACGAGUGUGAGAGUGGAAAGUUCACACUGUGACGGUAUCUUACCAGAAAGGGACGGCUAACUACGUGCCAGCAGCCGCGGUAAUACGUAGGUCCCGAGCGUUGUCCGGAUUUAUUGGGCGUAAAGCGAGCGCAGGCGGUUAGAUAAGUCCGAAGUUAAAGGCUGUGGCUUAACCAUAGUACGCUUUGGAAACUGUUUAACUUGAGUGCAAGAGGGGAGAGUGGAAUUCCAUGUGUAGCGGUGAAAUGCGUAGAUAUAUGGAGGAACACCGGUGGCGAAAGCGGCUCUCUGGCUUGUAACUGACGCUGAGGCUCGAAAGCGUGGGGAGCAAACAGGAUUAGAUACCCUGGUAGUCCACGCCGUAAACGAUGAGUGCUAGGUGUUAGACCCUUUCCGGGGUUUAGUGCCGCAGCUAACGCAUUAAGCACUCCGCCUGGGGAGUACGACCGCAAGGUU